GACGAACGCUGGCGGCGUGCUUAACACAUGCAAGUCGAACGGAAAGGCCCCUUCGGGGGUACUCGAGUGGCGAACGGGUGAGUAACACGUGGGUGAUCUGCCCUGCACUUCGGGAUAAGCCUGGGAAACUGGGUCUAAUACCGGAUAUGACUACGGCCUGCAUGGGUUGUGGUGGAAAGCUUUUGCGGUGUGGGAUGGGCCCGCGGCCUAUCAGCUUGUUGGUGAGGUUACGGCUCACCAAGGCGACGACGGGUAGCCGGCCUGAGAGGGUGUCCGGCCACACUGGGACUGAGAUACGGCCCAGACUCCUACGGGAGGCAGCAGUGGGGAAUAUUGCACAAUGGGCGCAAGCCUGAUGCAGCGACGCCGCGUGAGGGAUGACGGCCUUCGGGUUGUAAACCUCUUUCAGUACAGACGAAGCGCAAGUGACGGUAUGUACAGAAGAAGCACCGGCCAACUACGUG
RNAcentral lists this ribosomal RNA (464 nucleotides) under uncultured organism. RNAcentral describes it as "bacterial SSU rRNA". It matches the Rfam family "Bacterial small subunit ribosomal RNA", at positions 28 to 507 of the family's 1533-position model. The record is from RNAcentral.